GAUGAACGCUGGCGGCGUGCCUAAUACAUGCAAGUCGAGCGAACGGACGAGAAGCUUGCUUUUCUGAUGUUAGCGGCGGACGGGUGAGUAACACGUGGAUAACCUACCUAUAAGACUGGGAUAACUUCGGGAAACCGGAGCUAAUACCGGCUAAUAUUUUGAACCGCAUGGUUCAUAAGUGAAAGACGGUCUUGCUGUCACUUAUAGAUGGAUCCGCGCUGCAUUAGCUAGUUGGUAAGGUAACGGCUUACCAAGGCAACGAUGCAUAGCCGACCUGAGAGGGUGAUCGGCCACACUGGAACUGAGACACGGUCCAGACUCCUACGGGAGGCAGCAGUAGGGAAUCUUCCGCAAUGGGCGAAAGCCUGACGGAGCAACGCCGCGUGAGUGAUGAAGGUCUUCGGAUCGUAAAACUCUGUUAUUAGGGAAGAACAUAUGUGUAAGUAACUGUGCACAUCUUGACGGUACCUAAUCAGAAAGCCACGGCUAACUACGUG
This 497-nucleotide ribosomal RNA is filed under the name uncultured bacterium. RNAcentral describes it as "partial 16S ribosomal RNA". It matches the Rfam family "Bacterial small subunit ribosomal RNA", at positions 28 to 507 of the family's 1533-position model. The record is from RNAcentral.